RNAcentral lists this long non-coding RNA (1484 nucleotides) under Dicentrarchus labrax (European seabass). RNAcentral describes it as "lncRNA (ENSDLAG00005026378.1)". Lineage: Eukaryota; Metazoa; Chordata; Actinopteri; Moronidae. The record is from RNAcentral.
CGGUGGCAGCGCCGACUGCCGGCCUCCGACCCCUCGACGGCGGCGUCGGGCUCUACUCGAGCCCGGUGGAAGCCCGACCCGCAGGCCUCACGAGCAGCAAACCCAGAGCCGCCGAGUCAGCGGGCUGAUCACCGGAGCGGUUCCGCCUCUACCGCAUUUCCGACAGAAACACAGCUUAUCGGUGACCGACUGCGGGUCUCAGCGUCAUUUAUAACCCGCAGCUACGCUUCACUUGCCGCCGUCACUAACGCAGAUUUAAUGGCUGCGGAAAAGCGACAGAAAACACGAAGCCCGCGAAAAAACACUCGAGACAAAGUUUAGUGCGCGGAUGUCGUUCAAACUGCGCUGCGGCCGAACUUUUAAUACGAGUCCGCGCAGGUGACGCGACUUUUAGGAUUAGCUGCUGAGCUAACUCCGAAACCUCCAGGCAGAGAGCAGAAAACCGCUCAGCAGCUGUCCGGAACACUCCACUCCUCGGCCGGCCACAGGCUGCGGGGCGAGUCGGUCGCACGGUUCCCCAGAAACACCGAGCGGACCUCCAGAGGAGCCGAAGAGCUGCUGGAAACUCACAGUUUGAAAGAUUUUUACAAACAUAUAGUCCUUGACCAAAUAGAGGUAGUUCACCAGCUGUGAAAACAGCGCCGCUGUCCGGUCACACCGGGAACUGCAGACCAGCGACGAGAGGGGGAGAGAAAAAGCUCCUAAAAUCUUCCAUCUGCUUCGAGUCGUCAUCUCCAAAAAAUGGUGAAACCGGACACCGGGAGGCUCGACCGCCUUUAACCCCUUCACUGCCUCCCCGAGAGCCCAGAACCAGAGAGCAGAGACCAGAACUGACACAGACACUGUUUGUUUGUUUGUUUGUUUGUUUACACACUGUGUUGGGAUGUGAGUUUAACCUUAAUAGAAAUAUUGAACCUUUCUCUCUGUGUUUAUCUGCUGCUUGUUGUUAUUGAUUAUAUGACACAGUUACACUAUUUAUUACUGAUUACACAUAAAUGCAUCAGUAAUAAUUAAUAAUAUCAAUAAACACCAACAGAGGUCAUUUUUCUGCAUUAUUGGUGCUUUUAAUUAAGAAUAUUUAGCUCUAAUACAAACUGCUGUUUGUGUAUAAGUGAAUAUAAAUCUGUUACUUUAUAAAUGAAGCUGUGAUUUUAAUGUGUAAACGACCUUUAAUGGAGCUGGUUAUUGAUACUUCUACCACUGACUGACUUUAUGCAUCUUUAUUAAUAAUUAUUAUUAUUAGAACUUUUGUUAUUGUUAUUAUUGCAGGUUAUUGAUAUUUUACUUUAUAUAUCGAUGGAAAUAAAUGUUUUUACUUUAAACAUCACCUGGAUUCAGUUUGUUCUGUACAUAAAUACAUAAACAAUAUUCACCAUCAUCACACACUGUUACUAUGGUUACUACUGUACUUAUAUAACUUAUAUAACAUUGAAAAACUUUAAUAAUAAAUAAACUGAUUUGAAUUUUUCUUACUGACAGUAAAC